UACGUAGGGGGCAAGCGUUGUCCGGAUUUAUUGGGCGUAAAGAGCGUGUAGGCGGCCAGAUAGGUCCGUUGUGAAAACUGGAGGCUUAACCUCCAGCGGUCGAUGGAAACCAUUUGGCUAGAGUCCGGAAGAGGAGAGUGGAAUUCCACGUGUAGCAGUGAAAUGCGUAGAGAUGUGGAGGAACACCGAUGGCGAAGGCAGCCUCCUGGGCCAACACUGACGCUCAUGCACGAAAGCGUGGGGAGCAAACAGG
RNAcentral lists this ribosomal RNA (253 nucleotides) under uncultured bacterium. RNAcentral's name for it is "partial 16S ribosomal RNA". It matches the Rfam family "Bacterial small subunit ribosomal RNA", at positions 524 to 776 of the family's 1533-position model. The record is from RNAcentral.